AGUUAGCACCAAUAAUCAUAAAAUAUAUAAAGCAUUCCAUGGAUAAAUGGCAAACAGUGUUACAGCUCCAGACGAAAAAGGGACUCAUAAAAACCAAAGCCAUCUCCAUUAGAUGAAGAAUAUUCCAGGGAUUAUCGAAACAUAU
This is a long non-coding RNA of Octopus sinensis (East Asian common octopus), 145 nucleotides long. RefSeq lists it as uncharacterized. Lineage: Eukaryota; Metazoa; Mollusca; Cephalopoda; Octopoda; Octopodidae. The transcript is spliced from 3 exons. The record is from RefSeq and is a predicted model, not a curated record.